CAUGUGCAGUGGGACUGUCAAACGUUGUUUAUCAUAAUGGAUAGCGGAUUUAUAUUUUAUAGAACCAUAUGUGAGUGGCUUUACAGAAACAACCAAAGAACUUGGAGACCUUCUUAAAUGAUGUAGAGUUUGCACUGAAGGAGGGGUUCUUAAAGGAUGUAGGUCAAGAUACAUCACCCACAGCCAGUAAAUAGGUGUGCUCAUCAACAGGUCAAUAUACAUCGCCCACAGCUGGUCAAGAGGUGUGCUCAUCGGCAGGUCAAGAUACAUCACCCCCAGCUAGUCAAGAUGUUUGGCCAUCAGCACAUAAAGAUACAUUCCCUACAGCCAGUCAAGAGUUUUGCUCAUCAGAACGUCAAGAUACAUCACACACAGCCAGUCAGGAGGUGAACCUUAGGAAAUACACUGCAACAUUAAGCCAGAAGCAUGGACGAAGAUGACCACACUAUAUCAGAUGAGGAUGAAGAGGAAUAUGAGGGAAAGAGAAAAAGGAAGCCCCCCAAAAAGGCUGCAAAAAGUCAGAAAUUCACAGAGGUAGAAACAGAG
Molecule: long non-coding RNA, 546 nt
Organism: Dreissena polymorpha
Lineage: Eukaryota; Metazoa; Mollusca; Bivalvia; Myida; Dreissenidae
Exons: 4
Source: RefSeq, a predicted model, not a curated record